Molecule: ribosomal RNA, 253 nt
Filed under: uncultured bacterium
Lineage: Bacteria
Description: partial 16S ribosomal RNA
Rfam family: Bacterial small subunit ribosomal RNA
Source: RNAcentral
UACAGAGGGUGCGAGCGUUAAUCGGAAUUACUGGGCGUAAAGCGCGCGUAGGCGGCUUUGCAAGUCGGGUGUGAAAUCCCCAGGCUUAACCUGGGAACUGCAUUCGAGACUGCAUUGCUAGAGUAUGGGAGAGGGAAGUGGAAUUUCCGGUGUAGCGGUGAAAUGCGUAGAUAUCGGAAGGAACAUCAGUGGCGAAAGCGACUUCCUGGACCAAUACUGACGCUGAGAAGCGAAAGCAUGGGGAGCGAACAGG